CUCAGUCUGACUGCCUUCCAGCCCACUGCCGAUUCCAGCUGGGCCCUUUAUCCUCAGCCUGCCUCUUCACCCGCUUAUGCAGCCCGGUGACAUGCUCACCGCCUACCCCAGCACUCCCCAGAUACCAGCAGAAUCCUGUGGUAGUUUCCAAGGUAAAUAAUGGAGCCUUUAAACAGAUAAUUAAGCUAAAAUGAGGCCAAUGUGGUGAGCCCUGAUCCAAUCUAACUGGUAUCCUUAUGUGAAGAGGAUGUUUGGAUACAGAGAGAGACACCAGGUGUGUGCAUCCACAGAGGAAUGACCACGUGGACACAGCAAGAAGGCGGCCAAAGACAGAAGCCACAGAAGAAACCUAUCCUGCCCAACACCUUGAUUUUGGACUUCUAUUAAUAGCCGCCAGAACUAAACUGAGGCAUGAGGAGGUCACAUAACCUGACGGAGGUCACUUUGCUGAUGGAGUGCAGGGGCUGCAUCAAACUUUGUCGGUCUGGUUCCAGAGCUUUUGCCUUUAUUGUGGUGUCUCUGGAAUGUGUCAUCA
Hipposideros armiger (great roundleaf bat) is the source of this 535-nucleotide long non-coding RNA. RefSeq lists it as uncharacterized. Lineage: Eukaryota; Metazoa; Chordata; Mammalia; Chiroptera; Hipposideridae. The record is from RefSeq and is a predicted model, not a curated record. The transcript has 4 exons.